Ruditapes philippinarum (Manila clam) is the source of this 768-nucleotide long non-coding RNA. RefSeq lists it as uncharacterized. The transcript has 4 exons. The record is from RefSeq and is a predicted model, not a curated record. NCBI's taxonomy places the organism in Eukaryota, Metazoa, Mollusca, Bivalvia, Venerida, Veneridae.
GCGUAUGAAUACGAACUAUUUUCGCCCUAACGUCAUUUUACCGCAAUCGCCAUUGUUUACAAGUUCAUCCGUGAAAGAUUGAGAAGUUUAUAUAGAAGUUCCACGUGUUAAAACGAGUUGUUUGUGAAUAAAGGCUUGUUUGUUAGAUUUCAAUUGUGGCUCAGUUGGUUGUUUGCUGAGAAGCUGUGAAACAUAAUUAUACAGGCCAUUAAGGAGGUUUUUGUCAGAUUGAUGAAUGUGAAAUUAAGAGGACCCAUUUUGAGAAUGCUUUUUAUGAAUGGAAUCAAGAGAGAUAAAGUCUAAAAUGUGAUACUGUCAAUGUGACUAACCUUGAAGUAAACAGAUGACACAAUGUUUUUUCAAUGUCAUGGGCAUAUAAUGAAGAGAAAACAGAGAUGCUUGUUUGACAGAUACAGUAAUAGUAGGAGUUAUGAGGGAAGAUAGAUUGCAGUGAUAACUAUAUUGAGGCACCACUUCAUCACCAAGAACAUGAAAUGAAUUAUCAAUGUUUUCAAUGUGUUUGAACACCCAUUUUAGAUAAUACAGCUCAGAGUGAAUUUUUCAAAAUAAUUAAUUCUGUUUUCAAAGUUUUUUAUUUAGAUGUUAGUUGAUCUUGUCAAGUACUUUAUUUUUUUAGGGAUGGCAACAAUUACUAAAAUCAAUACUCGAGUACUCGGUCAUUUAGAGUAUUCGGUUACUGGGAUGAUUUCCAAUGAUCUUUAAAUUUUUAUCACACAAUAUCAACACCGUCUCCAUGCUACCUUCAUU